AGUCCAAUAGCUCAGUUGGUAGAGCACUUAAUCUUAAGGUUGUGAGUUUGAGCCUCACAUUGGGCAA
Molecule: non-coding RNA, 67 nt
Organism: Podarcis lilfordi (Lilford's wall lizard)
Lineage: Eukaryota; Metazoa; Chordata; Lepidosauria; Squamata; Lacertidae
Source: the annotation of a GenBank genome assembly